GACGCCGCCGCCGGAAGCCGCUAACCCUCGACGCCGCUGGACGCCAGUCGCCCUGCGCUCGCCUCGCCCUUGCCUCCCUCGACACCGUCACCCCUCGCUCGCCUCGCUGCUCAGCCGCCGCCAGACGCUGGUCGUCCCGCCGCUGGACUCCAGUUGUCCCCGAAGGCGCUCGCCCAGCCGCCCUCGACGCCGCUCACCCAAUCACCCCCGACGCCCCUCGCCGAGCCUCCACCGAAGCCCCAGCUGCCCUCGACGCCGCUCGCUGAGCGAUGGUUCUUUGUUAGCGGACGAGAAGCGCGCUACCUGCGAAACGAGGGAUCUCGACGUGGAAUGUAUAGAUGCCGAAGCGAUGGUUCUUUGUUAGCGGGGGCUUUUCUUAGGUUGAGUUUGAUGUCUGGAUAUGGUGGGUUGGGGGGAUGAUUGAUGAAGAAUUCUGAGUAACUCAUUCGAGGGAUGUGCACCUGGUUUAGUCAAGUUGAAGCGGAGGGAUGAUUAUGCUGUCAGGAUUGUGCUUGUUUAAUUGAGAUUUCGUAUUUUUAUUGCGUUCAUCGUGUUUGCUUUUGUGGAUUUGAUGUGGAGACGUGAUUCUGUAAUAGGAUUAAUCACGUUGAAUUGUUUCUUCGAGUCGAGUUGCUUCAUGUUCUUAAAUGUCGGUUCCAAGUUGAAUUAGUUUGUUGAUACAAACCGGAGCUGCAUUUCUCUUGGCAGUGAAAGGUUUUGAUGUGAUUGUCGUUGGAAUUCACAGGGCCGGUUCAUGGUAAUAGAUUGCCUGCAGCCUCUUAUUUGAUAAUUUUGAGUUUACAGUAUUCUUCCGAAGCAAGUGCCGAAAAGGAGGAACCCACAGAGACCGUGAAGGAGUUGUAUGACAAAUUCUUGAGUCUGUUAACACGAAAAGAACAAUGGCUCCAAACGCAUGGGCGUGAUCGAUGAUUGAAAAUUGCAAGAAUUGAGAGGAUAUUAAGCUUCUCUUUAAUAUCUUGCAGAACCUACACAGAUUUGGAUUGUCAAAUUUUCGACCUUUGUUGAGAAGUCACAAAAGCAUGUGUGCGUGCAAGGGCUCUUGACUUUGACGAGGGACCGUCUAAGGCAUCAUUCAUGGACGUGCAAAGAAGAAAAUCAACCAUCAAGGCAAGAAAGAACAAAUCAAAGUAACGAGCGAAGAGGACAGAGAUAGUCCAAUUAAACAUGAACGUAACCUUGUCCCGCGACAAGGAAAAGCAUCGACACAGGUUCCUCUCAGGAACCCGAGCAAAAGCACCAACGUACCAGAAAGACAACCUGAGCAAAAGCAACCUGAAAAUAUGCAUCAGACAAAUGAUAUUCUGCAUAAAACAAAUCCGCAUCAUGCCCAUUUGCUACCACGCAAUGAAGUACAGAGACAGGUAUAAUAAUAAUUGUACUUCACAAUGCUAUGGACCGUAAAUCUGCUCUUGGGGAGGCUAUGUCAGUUGAGGAGAAAAGGAAGUUAAAGAAAGACCUCAAAUCCUUACGAAUGGAGGAUGUGUCAUCAUUUAUGGAAGCCCUGCCUCCAGACUUCUCAAUAGUACUACGUGCAGAUGGGCUACUGAGGGCAAUCAUUCGCAAGUUUCGCGCUUCUCAAAGAGUGAGGCUGUUAACUUAUGCAAGAUUUGCACCAUACGGUCUUUUCCAAGAGACAACUGCUCAAUCUGGCAAGUCUAUAUGGCCUAGAAUCGAUUCAUCCUAUAACAGACAGGUCCAGGAGAAGGAUCAAAACAUGCCCUAAUUUUUUAAACUAGAUAAUCGACAGCAAUGGUGCAGUACUGUCCAACGAGGUGAGGUCUUAAAUGGUGGAGUUCCUUGAAAUGGGCCAUGAGCACCUACAUGUAGAAAGCAUACAUUAAGCAGCAGUGCUCCUUGCGUGCUUACCAAGUGUGUGCAUUCCCGGAUGCAGGCUGGAAUCGCAGGGGGGUUGUGGGGUAGAGAGAGAGGGAAGGAAGAAGCAAUGAGAAAGGAUUAAUUUCAUAGUAUUGUCAAAGUGGCUUAUAAUUUGUGUUGCGGAGCAGGAGGAUCGAGGUGGAUGGUUCUUAACUGGGCGAUUAGUUAGAGCAUAAAAAUCGCCUGGGUGCAUUUUCUUGUUGCAGAAGACACUAUCUAACACUAUGUUUCUAGUGCUUUCAGGUUCUGCGGUUGCAAUACUCUUCUCCAAGCUCAGGGGAAACUUAGUUACCUUCGAGUGAGAGUUGUCAUUGGGCGCUGGAGUUGCUUUCCUGGAUGGAAAGGGCAAGGCGCUUGCUAUUUGAGAUGAUAAACCAUCAGUAUGUGGCCGCAGGGCAGUCUGUUAAAGGACAUUAUUUAACUCCUGCAUCGUAGAUCUCGUUGCAUAGACAGCUUAAAAUUUUGAGACAGAUGCAAUGAAGGGAUGCAUAUGAUGGCUUUGGCGACCAAAGGGCUGGUGAUUUAAGCUAAAGCUCUAGGUGGAUGAUUGCGUUAUCAAUCUGUUCUCUCAAUUCAAGCAUGUGGUCAAAUUCCAUAACUGUUAUCCUUUCAAAAGUUUUCUAGUCAAGCACUCAAUACCAAGUUUAUUGUUCUUCAUGCAUGGCAUUGAUGUUGGACAUCAACUUGAUCCAUCAUUGUACUGUAAAUAUACAGAGGCACUUCAACUCAUCUGUAACUUCACAGUUUUGGCAAUAAUCGUGCAUCGAUGAUUCAUGAAAAAUGGA
Long non-coding RNA from Eucalyptus grandis, 2681 nucleotides. RefSeq lists it as uncharacterized. The transcript has 9 exons. Lineage: Eukaryota; Viridiplantae; Streptophyta; Magnoliopsida; Myrtales; Myrtaceae. The record is from RefSeq and is a predicted model, not a curated record.